Molecule: long non-coding RNA, 505 nt
Filed under: Equus asinus (donkey)
Lineage: Eukaryota; Metazoa; Chordata; Mammalia; Perissodactyla; Equidae
Description: lncRNA (ENSEASG00005038710.1)
Source: RNAcentral
CUCAGAUGCAAGGUGAUAAGUAGCCACACAUCUCUGGUCCCACAAGUUCAAGUUACAACAAACUGUUUCUUCUUUCUCUCUUUUAACCCAAGUUUCAACCAAGAAGGACCCUGCUUCCUGGUAACACAGCACACCACAAGGUGAAACAGAAACUGGCAACUGCAAGAUGGUUUCUGGUGGCCCAGAGGGGUCUGGGAAAAAGCAAAGGGUGACUCAAGAGCCACAAGGAUUUAGGAGUUGUUUUGCAGAAGAAAAAGAAUGCCUUCAAGGAAGUUAUGACCACCAGAUAACCAGUCCUUGGCUGCUGCUAAUGCCUAGAAGUCUGAUUGCCCAAGGGUUCAUCUGGAGUGAAAGAAACACACAUUUCCCCUUUGUUUCUCAGAAACUCCUCCUCCCAAGCCCCUUAACUCUAUAAAAUGCCCUGCUUUCUACUUUUGUUAAGACAGAUUUGAGAGAACCUAUCCUCCUGUCUUCUCGUUUUGGCCAAUUUGAAUAAACCUUUCGC